UGAAAGGAGAGAGCAAACAAAACAGACAGCCCUGGAAGUGUGACUUUCACUGCAGGCGGUGCGCCCAGCUGGCCCUGUGCUGCUCCAAGAGGUCUUCCGUUGGGGAAAGGAGGCUGUUCACAGCGUGCUGUGCUCAUGGAAUGAACCACAGAACGGCCUGGGUUGAAAAGGCCCACAGUGCUCAUCAGUUCCAACCCCCUGCUGUGUGCAGGGUCGCCAACCAGCAGCCCAGGCUGCCCAGAGCCACAUCCAGCCUGGCCUUGAAUGCCUGCAGGGAUGGGGCACCCACAGCCUCCUUGGGCAGAUGUUGGGCUCACACUGAGGUGUUUGGCUGUGUGCUCCAGGUCAGCACUGUGGCGUAGGUUGUUUUGGUUUGUAUGCAAUGUCCUAACUUUGGUUGUUACUAUUGUUUUUAACUCAAGCUUGCUGGGCCCUGGGCAGCGCACGUGGAAACUGGCAGAGGAGAGCAUCUCCUGGUGGUGGCUCGUUCAUUAGAUCCUGUGCUUCAUGGAAGCUCCAGCCACUGCGUAUACCUGCAAGCAAUAGUAAGAUAGCGUGGAGCUGUGUGCCCAAAACUGCAGCAAUUAUGACGACACACAUUCAUUCUGGGUUCUGCUGAUUACCAUGGUAACCCACAUCCAAAAUAGCAGCAUGAGGCCACGCAGCAGAAGGGAAACGGGGUUUUGUCCCUUAUUAACCGAUGCACGCUAUCAAUUUUAGCAGAGGAAUCCUUAAAAUAGAGGCAUGUCCCUUUUUAGUUGCCGUCGUGUCCCAACACCACAUGUCUGACCUUCCGCUUUGCGUGCGGUGUGCUGUGUAUUUCUAUUGCUGACUAACAGCAGUUGGUGAGGGAGGAUGGUGGCUGCUGCCAGCAGAAUUCCCAGCACCUGAUACCUGAAGAUCGAGCUCAGUGCGUGUUUGCUCUGCCUGGAACACGGGAGUGGAGGCUGCUUUGUUUGUGCUGCAGAGCCUAGCUGAAACCACACAGCGCUCCUCUUGCAAAGAGGCUCUUGAAAUACUUGGAUUUGCCCCAGCUUUGCUUAAUGAAUGACACAGGUGAAGCAUAAAGCUGUUUUCCCAUGGUGCAUGUAGUCGGCGGUGCCACUUCCUUGCUCCAUAUCCACAUAGAGCCCUUGCUCAAGGGGCUUAUGAGUGCACUGCCUGUAUGGCAAAGUACCUGUGAGGAUAAUGCCGGCACCCGAGGGCACCCUGAGGCUGUUUGCUGUUUGUGGUUGGCAAACCAUGCCCAUGGCUCUUGCUACAAUAAAAGCUUUUCUGGAA
This 1281-nucleotide long non-coding RNA is filed under the name Gallus gallus (chicken). RNAcentral describes it as "long non-coding RNA NONGGAT008716". The record is from RNAcentral. Lineage: Eukaryota; Metazoa; Chordata; Aves; Galliformes; Phasianidae.